Molecule: RNA transcript, 2189 nt
Organism: Oncorhynchus gorbuscha (pink salmon)
Lineage: Eukaryota; Metazoa; Chordata; Actinopteri; Salmoniformes; Salmonidae
Gene name: serine/arginine-rich splicing factor 7-like
Exons: 9
Source: RefSeq, a predicted model, not a curated record
ACAUGACCUCACUGUUGUGGGCCACAUUACUGCGCAAGUGCAUCACUGCACGGGUAGUCUAACAGAACAGUGAAUGUUUGUUGGCUAGUGAAGAAUUUGAAAUCCUGUAAAAUAAGUAAUCAAAAUAAGAAAUAAUUUAAGACAUUUCGCCCAUGUUUUAUUUCUGUAAAUUGAGCAGAGACUGAUAAAUCAAUCGCGGAGCUGUGGGGAUAAAGGUGGGAAGAUGUCAUAUCACUCGUCUUCUCACAGCUCUUCGCCUAACACCGAUUGCAAGGUCUAUGUUGGGGAUUUCGUCAACGGUGCUGCUAAGGCUGAGCUAGAGCGGGCGUUCAGUUACUAUGGCCCUUUACGCAGCGUUUGGGUGGCCAGGCCCGCAUGUUUCGCCUUUGUGGAGUAUGAGGAUGCCCGUGACGCAGAGGACGCAGUUAAAGGCAUGGAUGGGAAGGUGCUGUGCGGCUCUCGGAUCCAUGUGGAGCUGUCCACUGGCAUGUCACGUAAAACCAAACAUGACCCCCCCAGCCGUCACCACUUUGACUCUCAAGACUGCUGCUACCAUUGUGGGGACAGGGGCCACUAUGCUUACGACUGCUACCGUUUCAGCAGGAGGGGUGGAGGUCGUCGGAGCAGAUCACGGUCUCGUUCCGAAUCCAGGUCACGUGGCAGCCGUUAUCGAUCCCGUUCCCGCAGCAAUGACCGCAGCAGGCACCGCUCCCCAUCUUAUCCCAAACAUCGGAAGAGGUCCGGCUCCCCUGUGUGGUCCAAGUCCAGGACAUCUGUUAGGAGUCGUUCUCGGUCCGGGUCCCGGGCCAGAGGGCGCUCUGCGUCCCGCUCUCUCUCCAGAUCCCGCUCUCCCAGCCAUAAGAGGAAUAGGGCUAGGUGUGAUCAGGUAAGUCGUGGGUAGCUGCCCCCUCAGACCAGCCUCCACCCGAAGUCUGCGGAGUCGACCUUCCAGAACGCACAGAGUGACAACUCAUCAGAGAGAUGGCUGCUGCUGGAGAUGGGGAGGGGAAAGAAAUAGUCAGGGACUCUAACACACCCCAAGCUAGAGUGAGGAAACCCCCCUCCCCCUUUAUCUUUUCCAAAUACCUGAUUUUAAUGUUCUUUUCUCUUGGAGGUCCCUCUCCUAGAAUGACCAGGCCAGACCUUGAUUAGCUUCAGAGAGUUGCACACUAUAUUCUGAGAAACAGAGGCUGUUUGGGUGACAGCUGGGGAAGCGGGGCUCUUCUCUUUUCUCUUCUCCCUCAGAUCCGGCCUCAAUUUGAUUGGCUUCAGAGGGCGAGAGAACCUCAAACCCAAAAUAGAAAUCUGUCGUGAUCAGACUCCAGUGACCAAUCGCAUCAGGCCUUUUUUUAAAGAGUGUGGGGAGUCGACUGACUGCAGAAGCACUGACCAGGGUCAUCCUUGCUGUGUUAAAGUCCUCCCUGAGGGUGAAAAGGGCUGACCAGAAAUCAGCUUGCGCCGCGCUGUUUAAAGAGGUCGCCUGAUGAACGUUCUGACGAGACACAUCAUCCUACGCGCGUACACACAUUUGUUCCACCCACCACACUCCCUCCCAGAACCCACGCACCACAGACUUGAACGCUGAGCCGAGUUCAGUCGACAAGUUAAGGCCCCUUCCCUACCGAGCCCGGCCUCUUGCUUAGCUUUUGAGAGGGUGAGAAAGGAUAGCUGACAAGAGAUCAGACUUCAAGACCCUCCGAGUGUUUCUUCGAGUUCUAGAAUCCGUCGCUACUCUGUACAUGUUGUUUCUGCCACUGUCUCCAAAGUCGUUCCAGAUCUCCAAGCCAGAAAAAGAGCCCCACCCCAGGGGAAGAUUGAUUUGAAGACUAAACCUGUCCCCAUCCCCCUCCAACCAACUGGCUUUAGCCUUGCAGCUAUUUGUUUUGUCUUUGUUCCCUGCAUUGAUUAGAAUCUAGCCCUACCUUUCUGAUGCUGUAUAAUUACACUACAGGAUUAGUUUCAUAUCUAACCAUGCAUCCCUUACAUGAUGUCACAUUCCUAAAAUGGCUAUUGUGUGUCAAAACAGUUCAAAUAGCUAAUUUCAGAAGUGGGAUUUGUGAACCAGAACUUUGUUAUUUCCUAUCUACUAUAUUCAGCGUGGCAUUGCGUUAAUGAGCUGUAAGAUACUUUAAAUGUUGCUUUCCCUUUUUUAUGACACUGGCAGAUUUUGGAAUAAAUCGACACAUUAA